UACGUAGGUGGCAAGCGUUGUUCGGAAUUACUGGGCGUAAAGGGCGCGUAGGCGGCCUUCUAAGUCGAACGUGAAAUCCCCGGGCUCAACCCGGGAACUGCGUCCGAUACUGGAAGGCUUGAAUCCGGGAGAGGGAUGUGGAAUUCCAGGUGUAGCGGUGAAAUGCGUAGAUAUCUGGAGGAACACCGGUGGCGAAGGCGACAUCCUGGACCGGUAUUGACGCUGAGGCGCGAAAGCCAGGGGAGCAAACGGG
This 253-nucleotide ribosomal RNA is filed under the name uncultured bacterium. Its description in RNAcentral is "partial 16S ribosomal RNA". It matches the Rfam family "Bacterial small subunit ribosomal RNA", at positions 524 to 776 of the family's 1533-position model. The record is from RNAcentral.